UGGGUGACCUGCCCUCAGCUCUGGGAUAAGCCCGGGAAACUGGGUCUAAUACCGGAUAUGACCUCUCAUCGCAUGGUGAGGGGUGGAAAGUUUUUCGGCUGGGGAUGGGCCCGCGGCCUAUCAGCUUGUUGGUGGGGUGAUGGCCUACCAAGGCGACGACGGGUAGCCGGCCUGAGAGGGUGUCCGGCCACACUGGGACUGAGAUACGGCCCAGACUCCUACGGGAG
RNAcentral lists this ribosomal RNA (227 nucleotides) under uncultured bacterium. Its description in RNAcentral is "partial 16S ribosomal RNA". It matches the Rfam family "Bacterial small subunit ribosomal RNA", at positions 118 to 347 of the family's 1533-position model. The record is from RNAcentral.